CAAGUGGCAAAAUCUGGUGACAGCAUGAAAACAGAGGAAAAACUCCUCCAUCAUUGGCAGCAAACCGCCCAAGGUGAUGCACGACACCCAAGGGGGCAGCGACAUACUGCCCGAGGUGGCAGUGCACCUCACAAGGCCAGUCGCAUGCUACAGGCCUAGCCUACAAGCGUCGAUGUACCAUGUCGCGCGCAAGAGCUAGCCUACGCAUGCACAUGGCCUACAGUGAACAGGGCAUUGUCUGCAGGCCUUUUGCGCGAAAGCCUUGGGCACAUAGGCCUAUCCUCGUAGGCCUACUGCCCAGACAGUGUGCAACACCUGACCCUGUCUGCGCACAAUGUGAUGCGUGUGGGCUGGCCUUCCUGGGGACGAUAAAACGCACAUAUAGGACCAGCCCCAUGCCCCGCACGGAUGGGAC
This 415-nucleotide long non-coding RNA is filed under the name Carica papaya (papaya). RNAcentral describes it as "long non-coding RNA (CPAP_LNC009661)". The record is from RNAcentral. Lineage: Eukaryota; Viridiplantae; Streptophyta; Magnoliopsida; Brassicales; Caricaceae.